This 446-nucleotide ribosomal RNA is filed under the name uncultured bacterium. RNAcentral describes it as "partial 16S ribosomal RNA". It matches the Rfam family "Bacterial small subunit ribosomal RNA", at positions 338 to 795 of the family's 1533-position model. The record is from RNAcentral.
CCUACGGGUGGCAGCAGUCGAGAAUCAUUCACAAUGGGGGAAACCCUGAUGGUGCGACGCCGCGUGGGGGAAUGAAGGUCUUCGGAUUGUAAACCCCUGUCAUGUGGGAGCAAAUUAAAAAGAUAGUACCACAAGAGGAAGAGACGGCUAACUCUGUGCCAGCCGCCGCGGUAAUACAGAGGUCUCAAGCGUUGUUCGGAAUCACUGGGCGUAAAGGGUGCGUAGGCGGUUUCGUAAGUCGGGUGUGAAAGGCGCGGGCUCAACCCGCGGACGGCACAUGAUACUGCGAGACUAGAGUAAUGGAGGGGGAACCGGAAUUCUCGGUGUAGCAGUGAAAUGCGUAGAUAUCGAGAGGAACACUGGUGGCGAAGGCGGGUUCCUGGACAUUAACUGACGCUGAGGCACGAAGGCCAGGGGAGCGAAAGGGAUUAGAUACCCCAGUAGUC